This 28-nucleotide non-coding RNA is filed under the name Bombyx mori (domestic silkworm). The record is from RNAcentral. Lineage: Eukaryota; Metazoa; Arthropoda; Insecta; Lepidoptera; Bombycidae.
AAAUGUAGUAGUCGCUUGUCAAAAUCGC